Molecule: transfer RNA, 63 nt
Filed under: Heterocephalus glaber (naked mole-rat)
Lineage: Eukaryota; Metazoa; Chordata; Mammalia; Rodentia; Bathyergidae
Rfam family: tRNA
About the family: Transfer RNA (tRNA) molecules are approximately 80 nucleotides in length.
Source: Rfam by way of RNAcentral
GGGGAUUUAGCUCAGUGGCACAGUGCCUGCCUGGCAAGCAGAAGGUCCUAAGUUUGAUCCCCA